UAGGGAAUCUUCCACAAUGGACGCAAGUCUGAUGGAGCAACGCCGCGUGAGUGAAGAAGGUUUUCGGACCGUAAAGCUCUGUUGUUGGUGAAGAAGGAUAGAGGUAGUAACUGGCCUUUAUUUGACGGUAAUCAACCAGAAAGUCACGGCUAACUACGUGCCAGCAGCCGCGGUAAUACGUAGGUGGCAAGCGUUGUCCGGAUUUAUUGGGCGUAAAGCGAGCGCAGGCGGAAUGAAUAAGUCUGAUGUGAAAGCCCUCGGCUUAACCGAGGAAUUGCAUUGGAAACUGUUUUCUUGAGUGCAGAAGAGGAGAGUAGAACUCCAUGUGUAGCGGUGGAAAUGCGUAGAUAUAUGGAAGAAUACCAGUGGCGAAGGCGGCUCUCUGGUCUGCAACUGACGCUGAGGCUCGAAAGCAUGGGUAGCGAACAGGAUUAGAUACCCUGGUAGUCCAUGCCGUAAACGAUGAGUGCUAAGUGUUGGGAGGCUUCCGCCUCUCAGUGCUGCAGCUAACGCAUUAAGCACUCCGCC
This 528-nucleotide ribosomal RNA is filed under the name uncultured bacterium. Its description in RNAcentral is "partial 16S ribosomal RNA". It matches the Rfam family "Bacterial small subunit ribosomal RNA", at positions 355 to 873 of the family's 1533-position model. The record is from RNAcentral.